UACGUAGGGUGCAAGCGUUGUCCGGAAUUAUUGGGCGUAAAGAGCUCGUAGGCGGUCUGUCGCGUCGGCUGUGAAAACCCGGAGCUCAACUCCGGGCCUGCAGUCGAUACGGGCAAACUGGAGUGUUGCAGGGGAGACUGGAAUUCCUGGUGUAGCGGUGAAAUGCGCAGAUAUCAGGAGGAACACCGGUGGCGAAGGCGGGUCUCUGGGCAACAACUGACGCUGAGGAGCGAAAGUGUGGGGAGCGAACAGG
This 253-nucleotide ribosomal RNA is filed under the name uncultured bacterium. Its description in RNAcentral is "partial 16S ribosomal RNA". It matches the Rfam family "Bacterial small subunit ribosomal RNA", at positions 524 to 776 of the family's 1533-position model. The record is from RNAcentral.